UCAAGCUACAAAUCAAUGAAGAACUGAUCUAGGAAAACUUCGAUCGGUGAAGUAAAAGAGGAAGGACCACGCAUCGGUCGGCAAGGGACGCAUCGAUGUCCUUUCGAACUAUACAAUGAUGCACUGACCGAGCGAGCAAAUUAUCGUUAGACUUUGAAAAGAAGCGAAAAAUGCUCAAUAACAGCAAAACAUGAAUUGAGAAACGGCAAUAAGCGAACUGGUGACCGUGAGACGUUCCGGAAGCGCUCCGUCGUCUACUUCGGUUGGUGUACACUAGGCUUCCUUGACCGGCAUUGUUUUUUUCGUCCUUCCAAUUGCAAAGGUUUCCAUCAUGUGCGACCGGUGUCGUGACGCAGGCAGCAACAGCAGCGUAGAAGAGUUUAUCAUUCGACCUCAGAAACGUGCGCAUAGCGGAGACGUGAUUGACUACCAUCUUGGGAAAUCCUGUGAAGGAUAGAUCGUUGCGUCAGCCGUUCCCAUACCUACGCAACGUUUCGAGCGUG
This is a long non-coding RNA of Varroa destructor (honeybee mite), 503 nucleotides long. RefSeq lists it as uncharacterized. NCBI's taxonomy places the organism in Eukaryota, Metazoa, Arthropoda, Arachnida, Mesostigmata, Varroidae. The record is from RefSeq and is a predicted model, not a curated record.